Molecule: long non-coding RNA, 4641 nt
Organism: Scatophagus argus
Lineage: Eukaryota; Metazoa; Chordata; Actinopteri; Scatophagidae
Exons: 5
Source: RefSeq, a predicted model, not a curated record
GCCCGGUUGAAAAGGACAGCGGAGAUGCCGAUGUUCCUGCGGAGGGUCAGGCUCACCGCGGAGCGCAGCACGGAGGACAACUGGAACAGCCGGUGAAGUGCCAUCUGAAGGAGAGAAGGCUUUGUUGCUAAGGUCAAGUUUUUGAGUUGAAUUCAGAAUCCCAUGAAGAUCCAGCGAUCUCAAGAGAUGGCGAGCCUCCCAGCUUGAUCUCCGAGUCACUGAAUCCUGUCCACUGAAGUGCCGUUGUCCUACCUGCCUGUGGUAGGAUUGAACCAGUCACCCAACUGGUUGCUGUAUACUUGACACUGAUUUGACUUAUUUGACGCUGACUAAACACUUACCACCAGAAUCUGAAAGAACUGAACCUUGCAAACUAAAAGAAAACCAGCUGAACAACAUAUUAAAGGACAAAAGGGCCCAAUUUAUGUAUUUGUGUUAAGGUAAUUUUGUAUUGGUUGUUCAUUCAGUUACAAUACAACAGUUAAACUGUAUCAUAUCAGUGUGUGUUUGGUCAUUGCACUUUGACUUUGCUCUUAGACGGACCUAGAAUCUGCGAGGUGAACAUACCCAGUAGUGGGUUACAGUAGCUUACUGUUGUAGCUAAUAGAGAUCCAUGGUGGUGAGCUCUUGGUGCUCAAACUACAAAAGAAAACAACCUGUCAAGUGCCUAGUUCCAACUUUCAAGCUAUGAUUGCAUAAUUACUGUUCAGGGGACGGGUUCUGCAAACAUACAUGACUUAUGUCUUUUCCUCCCCUUCAAACAGGAAGGUCUUAGGUCAAAAUAUUCUUCACACACGAAGAACUGGAGCCUGUAAGUGAACAAAGCUGUGAAGGUAAGUAGACACUGAUCCGACACAGCUACCCCGUACACCUUCUGUUUACUGGAAUAUAGCCGGAAUUUCUAUCACACGACUCUUGAAGUCGACCAGGUUGGUACGUUGAGUCGAAAUGCUCUUUUAAAGUCUUUGUUCCACACGCAUGAUUGCAUAGUUGGACUGGUGCCACGAAACCCAUAUGUAAGACGUGUGAAGGAUACAAUCAGGUGAAGUGGAGAACCUUUAAACACGUUCACUUGUUUACACGCUGGAGCAGUUUUUUUUUUCAUUUUAUUUGUUUAUAUUUUGUGCAUGUCUUUUUUUUUUAGCUCACUGGAGUCAAAUAAAAUAUUCAGGUUUCAUCCCUGCAAGCUAAAGACACUCCAGAUGGAAUUUUUCUGAAUGUUCUCUCUCUCUCUCUCUCUCUCUCUGAGGAAGCAAGUGGCUGUAACCCAGGGAUAUUUGUACAUACAGUAUAUUGGUGCUUUUAUUUUCACAGAACUGAGAAAGGAAGGAAGGCUGCGUAUGAAAGGAAGUGCUGGAGCGUUGCGUACACGUGCGGCGUAAUUUCGACCGAGUCUUAGGUGCAGCAUCUUUAAAAUGUGGUCGUAAACACGGUGGUUACGGCUGAUCUGAGGAGUCCGGUAUAAAUCCUAGCAGCUGUAAUUAAAACCGAAUGAGACAGGAAUAUGGAGAUGAGGACAUGCAGGGAAACUGGCUGAAAUUGGUUAUACUGUACUUGACAAACUGCAAUUUAUGAAAAUGUGCCGUGGUGAGCGUGUAAGAUAAAUGAUGAAAAUUACAACAGGAAGGAAUCCCUUUUUUACUUACUUGACAUUCAAAAUGGAUUGAAUGAUUUCUUGCAGGAGACAUAUUGCUUGUGUGAAUGUUGAGUAUUUCAGUAGUCGUUGCAGUCCUGUUGAUGCGAGGCGAGAUGGGAGAUGAAACAGAUGACACAGUUAAAAUGGUUGAUCUUUUCAAGUUCUUCUACUGAUUAUCAAACUGUUCUCAGAGCUGGCAGCAUAUUUUGCAGUUUGAAUUCGCUUCAGUAAAGUGCUUGAUAUUCUUUUUUUGUUGUUUUCCUUGUUUUUACACUUGCUAUCCCCCAAAGCAAAUAUUACUGCUAAUGUGAGGCAUUGAGGCUCCAGUUGGGCAGAUUAAAACAAACAAAAAAAAAGUUUAAAACUUACAAACGUGGAUUAUCUUCUCUAGGAACAGGAAAAAUGUCUUGGCUUUUAUGAAAUACAGAAAUACAGGUGCUGAACCUGCCCAAAGGCGUGAACACCUAAUAGCCCACCCAACAGUGUUAAAUAUGUGCCCUGUGCCAAAAAAGGUAAAUUUAUCUAAUCUGACCUGGCAGUCGGCUGCUUGUUGUAAUUUCAUGCAUAUUUUAGUCAAUGGAGUACAGUUACUGUUACAGUGCAGUACAGUUACCCCCCCCCCCCCCCCAUGGACUCUCAAUGAGAACAAGGAAAAACUACUUACAGCCUACUCAAAGAGGGAUCCCCUCCGGGACAGUCAGCUGGUGGUGGUGCCAGAAGUGGGCCGAUGGUGCGAUGGUGGGUGAGGGGAUGUCAUGUGGUCGAGGUAGAGGAGGUAUCUGUCGCAGUGAGUGGUGGUGUUACAGUCUGGAUUUGCCCCUCUUUCUCAUCUCACCACUUGAGUUUUUUACUGCUCCUCUCCUCAUCCUCAUCACUUUCUCUCUUUCUUUUUCUUUCAGGAAGUGGGUCCUGCUCUCUUUCCUCUGACGUUCCCUCAUCCUUAGCCUCAUCGCCGGCCUUACUGCUUCUCUCCUCAUCCUUGUCUUCUUCCUCUGACACUCCCUCAUCUUCAUCACUGUCCUCACUGUCCCAGUCGUUGUCUGAGUCGCUGUCUGCAAAUUCAUCCCACCAUCUGAAUCUUCGACUGCUUCUCUCCUCUUCCUCAUCAUCUUCUUCACGAGGUCGCCGCCUGGAUCCACUGGGCUGCGGUUGUUCUUGUGGAGCAGCGUGUGGAGCAAGGUGAGCCUCGUCGGCAGCCACGUUGUUGUCCUGCUGGAAGACCGGUCCAGGAUCUUCAGAUGGCGCCUCCUGAGGCGCUCCCGAAGACUCCCGCUGAUGUGACUUCAAGGACUCUGUGCAGGUCUUCCUCAAAGCUGAGCCACUCCUUCGUGUCAGACAUCUUUGGCCACUUUAUCCUCUCCUUCACAGGUUCAGGCUGUGGCAUCUGUGGAAAUGCUCCCUUGGGAUGUAGGUGACAAAGGUGCUGAGAAAUCCCCAGGGCUAUGGGGUGCAUCCUGGUUGGGGAUUUCCUGCGUCUCACCGGGUUCUAGACCUGUGUCUGCAACAGGGGCAUUUUACCUCUGGUGCUUUUCCAGUUGUGGUGGUUUGGAUGAGCCUUCUCCGUGUCCUGGUUCCUGUCCUGGCCAUAACCUCUCGGGAGACUCUGGGGGUGUUGCUUGUGUGGUACUUUAGUAGCUUGCUUGGUGUCCUCUUGCGAGUGCUGUGUAUGGGGUUGCUGGCCCCACACACCCACACCAGUCUUUCCUGGAGGUCAGCUGUUUUUCCAGCGUCACCCUUGUUUCUCGGUCGUCAUCAGUUUGGUGAUUUUCAUACAUCAGAGACAUCAUUUUAAAACAAUGAAAAUAAAUCGAAAAUCAAGAAAUCGUCAUUAAAAACUUACUAAAUUGCAGAAUGAAGAUAAAAGAUAAAAAAAAUGGAUGUUUUUUAUUAAUUGUAGUGUCUCUGCAAAACAGCUGGAAUCAUGCAUAAACAUCAUAGAUUACAUAAGAGUGUGUUCCAGCUCCCAGGAAGCGUUUUGUUGGAAGGAACUCCGGAUACACAAUUCAUUAACUUCAUGUUUGGUUUAUCCCAAGGACUUCCCCUCUGAAAACUAGAAGUACAACAUGUUUAUUGAAGCGCUAUCUGUCGUGUGUAAGUUGUUUCCUGUCUCUCCUCUCAUUGUCUUAACAUACACAUCAUGCCAGUGAAGUUGCCAUUGGAGACCAGAGCUUUUUUUUUAUUAUUAUUUGUUCAGUUGAACACAGAGGCUUUUUCUCUGCAAAGUGCCAGGAACCUGAAAGAUUUAAUCAAAGUACAGGAAGUCUCUGCUUUUAUUUUUAUUUAUUUAUUGAUACACGUUUCAACGAAUAUAAAUUAAAAAAUAAAAGUUGUUCCAUGUGCAGGACAAUAGCCAGCAUGCUGGUUUCUUGUCUUCCAUCUGUCAGCCCCCAUUUAGGUCGGAAAAAAAAACCAAGAAAAACUGAUGUGCAAAGAGGUUGUUGUUGACAGACUUCUGAAUGUAUCAAACAUUAACAACUUGCAAUUAUAUUUUCUGUCCAGAGGUAAGUUCAUAUGGUGCUUAAGUAUGUUAUUGUGAUAGUAUGUUGUGUAUGUCAGGUUAUUCUGUGUGUUUAUGAACUUACAUUAAUGUUAUUGUAUGUAUGUUGUGUUGUAUGUCGGUAAGUGUGUUAUUAAAUGUGUCUAUGUUAUAGUAUGUUCUUCGUGUCAUGUUAUUGCGUGUUUAGGUACUCGCAUACACACAUACUCACACAGAUACAUCCAUACAUAUUAUUGUAUGUGUAUGUUACAGUAUGUUUUACAUGAACGCUUCCAUGUGUGUGGAGGCACAUGGACAUCAUGAGCUUUGAAGCACCAUGUUAACCAGGCACGGAGCUGACAGGAAAAACGUGCUGCUGUGGUCUCUUUUUCAUUAUGGAGAUGUGCAAACAAGGUUCUGUGUGUAGUGUUGUCAGGCUAACAUGUAGGAUGUUCAGAGUGUGGUCUUCAAAGCAAGUCAUUGUGUCUGGAGUCUGAGAAAAGGUGGCUGAGUGUGUGGUUAAGCAGAA